UACGUAGGGUGCGAGCGUUGUCCGGAAUCAUUGGGUUUAAAGGGUCCGUAGGCGGUUUUGUAAGUCAGUGGUGAAAGCCCAUCGCUCAACGGUGGAACGGCCAUUGAUACUGCAAGACUUGAAUUACUAGGAAGUAACUAGAAUAUGUAGUGUAGCGGUGAAAUGCUUAGAUAUUACAUGGAAUACCAAUUGCGAAGGCAGGUUACUACUAGUGGAUUGACGCUGAUGGACGAAAGCGUGGGGAGCGAACAGG
Molecule: ribosomal RNA, 253 nt
Filed under: uncultured bacterium
Lineage: Bacteria
Description: partial 16S ribosomal RNA
Rfam family: Bacterial small subunit ribosomal RNA
Source: RNAcentral